GACGAACGCUGGCGGCGUGCCUAACACAUGCAAGUUGAGCGAUGAAGAUUGGUGCUUGCACCAAUUUGAAGAGCAGCGAACGGGUGAGUAACGCGUGGGGAAUCUGCCUUUGAGCGGGGGACAACAAUUGGAAACGAAUGCUAAUACCGCAUAACAACUUUAAACAUAAGUUUUAAGUUUGAAAGAUGCAAUUGCAUCACUCAAAGAUGAUCCCGCGUUGUAUUAGCUAGUUGGUGAGGUAAAGGCUCAUCAAGGCGAUGAUACAUAGCCGACCUGAGAGGGUGAUCAGCCGCAGUGGGACGGGGACACGGCCCAAACGCCUACGGGAGGCAGCAGUAGGGAAUCUUCGGCAAUGAGCGGAAGUCUGUCCGAGCAACGCCGCGGGAGUGAAGAGGAGUGUCGGAUCGUAAAACUCGGUUGGUAGAGAAGAACGUUGGUGAGAGUGGAAAGCUCAUCAAGUGACGGUAACUGCGCAGAAAGGAACGGCUAACUACGUG
Molecule: ribosomal RNA, 497 nt
Filed under: uncultured bacterium
Lineage: Bacteria
Description: partial 16S ribosomal RNA
Rfam family: Bacterial small subunit ribosomal RNA
Source: RNAcentral